RNAcentral lists this long non-coding RNA (551 nucleotides) under Panax ginseng (ginseng). RNAcentral's name for it is "long non-coding RNA (PGIN_LNC010694)". The record is from RNAcentral. Lineage: Eukaryota; Viridiplantae; Streptophyta; Magnoliopsida; Apiales; Araliaceae.
AUUUUUGUUACAAAAAAUGUUUAAAAUAUGUUAAACAUGUUUGUGGGCCCCACUUUGUGACUGAAAUUGGAUUAUAGCCCGUAAAAUCGUCCGUUUGUGGAUUUCGGUCAAUUUCUGUUUGGAAUUUGAAAAAACUUAAACUUAAAAAGUUGUAGAGAAUGGAAUUUACUAUGUAAAAGACACGAGGUUCGAAUUUUUCUGAUAAAAGGGCUAUUUGUUAUGAAUUAUUGAAGCUCCGAAGUUCCGAAAUAAUUGAUUUUUGGAAGUUUUAAUUGUUUUAGUUAACAAAAACGUUUUUUGUCAUUUGGUGGGCUCCAAUGGUGUUGUAAACAUGCUGAAUUCAGUUGUCAAAGAGGUGGGCUUGGAUAAUUUUUAUAAAUAUAUAUUUUAUUAAAUUUUCUGCUUUGGUGUUCUAAGCAUUUUCCUAUAAAUAGGGUGCUUAAAUUAGAAUUGAAAAUCACACCAGAAACUGAAGUUUUCUCUCUCUUUCUCUCUCUAUAUUAUCGAGUGUAUUCUUGUGAGUAUUUUGAUACUUUGAGUGUUGCUAUACG